This 2277-nucleotide unclassified non-coding RNA is filed under the name Neodiprion pinetum (white pine sawfly). RNAcentral describes it as "zinc finger protein 239-like, transcript variant X1". The record is from RNAcentral. Lineage: Eukaryota; Metazoa; Arthropoda; Insecta; Hymenoptera; Diprionidae.
AUGUCGUCCCUCGACUAUUUGGAUUUGUGCAGAUUGUGUCUAAUGAAAGAUCGUGUGUCCGUACCGAUAUUCGAGGGUGAGGGUGAUGUCAGGCAGAUUUUUUUAAAGAUUGCGGCCUGCUUGCCGGUCAAGGUUGCACGGGAAGACAAGUUACCUAAAAAGAUAUGCGACGAUUGCGUUUACAAAGUAGAAUUACUUUACCAAUUUUGGAAUACAACGGCAAACGCCGAGAAGCAGCUACUCCAAUGGCUUGGCGAAGUUGGCUUGGAGGACAAGCAAGGCUAUGUCACUGGCGUCCUAAAUCCGAGUACAAUGAAACAAGAAGAAAACAGUUCCAGCGGAUUGGGAGGCACAGCAAUACAGGUGACUGGAGUUCAACCUGGCAUUGGUAUAGGAGUUAUAGACAACAUGGGACUAGGCAUGCCGCUAAUUAUUCCCAGCUCAACACAGCAGCAAUUAACUGCUGUGCCAAUGGAUACAAGCACUGGACCCAUCCAACCUAUCCAACCUAUCCAACAGGCUGUACCUGGUCCAAGUAGUCAACCUGGACAUGAACAGAUUGCCGAGUCCCAAACUAAUGCAACAACGCAUCAACAGGACGAGGAAGAGGAAACUAGCGAUGAUGAAGAAAACUCUGACGAUGAUUGCGAUGGUGAUGAUGGUCUACCUGUCAAGGAAGAAAGCGAGGAAGAUCCUAGUAAUAGUAGAACGAUUGAACCUACGACGUUUGUAAAUGUAUCCCUGGCUUGCGACGAAGCGGGUCCGUCCGGCUUGCAGCAGCAAAAAAUCGUGGAAAUGCCAGAAAUGGCUAUGCCCCAGACAACCGACGGUGAUCCCAAGUCUGGGUUUCAUUUUUUCGCGGGAUUUGGAAGAAAUGGAAAUGGCGAUUCAUUCCUUCGAGCUGCAAGGCGAGUACGAUCUUCGGGACCUUUUAGAUGCGCGAUCUGCAACUGUGGAUUUAAAUCAGGUCCGUCGUUGAAGCAACACGUGUCCAAGGUGCAUGGUGCUGCCUUACCACAGAAAUUUAAAUGCCAUCAUUGUACCUUUGAGACGGACUGGAGAGGAAACCUGCGCAAUCAUAUGCGCCUUCAUGCUAACUAUAUUCCUAGUGGUAAAAACAAGAAACCAUGUGGAUUGUGCGAUCAGUCUUUUUCAAACACCAAAAAUUUACUCAAUCACAGAAACGCACACAAACCAACAUACUUUUCUCAAGAUUCAUCUGAACCUCCAAUGUAUGAAUGUGAUUUUUGUGGGCUGAAACUUGAAAAAAAAGGACACUUCUCACGGCACAGAAGAUUACAUGUCAACCGAGUUCGUAUGGCAUGUCAAGUUUGUCACAAAUGGUUCCGGUAUAGAGACAAGCUGGAUCUCCAUGUUAAAGCGAUGCACCUUAAAGACCGUCCAUUCUCCUGCUUGAUUUGUGAAAAAUCUUACAAGACCAAAUCGAUAUUGCACAAACACACCAAGAUACAUGGCCAACGAGUAGUUUGCUAUAUAUGCGGUUGUGUGGAGGAAUCUAAACUUUCUCUGAAACAACAUCUCAGUAGGCACGACAAGGAGUACAACAUGUUUUGCAUGACUUGUAACAAGGGGUUUUAUGCAAUACAGGCAUUGAAUAACCACAUGAGGCAGGAACAUGAUGGAGACAAACCAUUCAAGUGUCACAUUUGUGGAGAGACAUUCUUAAGUCGGACUUAUCUGAAAUUACAUAAAAAGUCGCACGAACAACCUGUGAAAUAUAAAUGCUCGUUGUGCAACUUUGAAAGUACAUGGAAAAAGUCUUUGAGAACGCAUACGAAAAUUCAUUCCGGUGAGAACCUGAUGACAUGUGAGGUGUGCGGAAAGUGUCUCUCAACCAAAGCCUCCUUUGAAACUCACAUGAGAAUUCACACGGGGGAAAAACCACACGUUUGUGAAGUUUGUGGAAAAGCAUUCAGUGCGAGGAAGUAUUUACACAUACACAAUCGCACCCACACUGGAGAGAAACCUUACGCAUGUGAAAAAUGCCCAAAACGUUUUACUCAGAAGGGCUCCAUGAAGUUACACAUGAAGUCCCAACACGUUUCCACUUAAUUCUUCAAAGCUGCGAUCUUGUACCGUAGUUCUUACGUGAUUCACGAGAUUCACUAAUGCCAACACGUCAAGAAAAUACAAAGAGAAUAGCCCCAAGGAGUAUGCAGCUACACAACUAGUGCAGUGUGAAAUAAUUGAUGGAUCAAAGGCUCCUACUGAUCCUUCAAUACUUAAGAAAGAAUCCUGCAGCUUGGAUAAAACCAU